UGGGGAAUCUUAGACAAUGGGGGCAACCCUGAUCUAGCCAUGCCGCGUGAGUGAUGAAGGCCUUAGGGUCGUAAAGCUCUUUCGCUGGGGAUGAUAAUGACAGUACCCAGUAAAGAAACCCCGGCUAACUCCGUGCCAGCAGCCGCGGUAAUACGGAGGGGGUUAGCGUUGUUCGGAAUUACUGGGCGUAAAGCGCACGUAGGCGGACUGGAAAGUUAGAGGUGAAAUCCCGGGGCUCAACCCCGGAACUGCCUUUAAAACUAUCAGUCUAGAGUUCGAGAGAGGUGAGUGGAAUUCCGAGUGUAGAGGUGAAAUUCGUAGAUAUUCGGAGGAACACCAGUGGCGAAGGCGGCUCACUGGCUCGAUACUGACGCUGAGGUGCGAAAGUGUGGGGAGCAAACAGG
This 404-nucleotide ribosomal RNA is filed under the name uncultured bacterium. RNAcentral's name for it is "bacterial SSU rRNA". It matches the Rfam family "Bacterial small subunit ribosomal RNA", at positions 355 to 776 of the family's 1533-position model. The record is from RNAcentral.